Long non-coding RNA from Haliotis rubra (blacklip abalone), 930 nucleotides. RefSeq lists it as uncharacterized. NCBI's taxonomy places the organism in Eukaryota, Metazoa, Mollusca, Gastropoda, Lepetellida, Haliotidae. The record is from RefSeq and is a predicted model, not a curated record. The transcript has 3 exons.
AUCAGUUCCGGAAGUCGUCUGCUGCGUCUUACUACAGUCACGUGAUAUCGACGCUGGAACUAUUUUGGGUGAGAAAACGCCGAGGAGUCUUCACGUGAACUUCGAGGCAGCAACACGGCAAUCGGCACCGGUGUGAGUGACAGACAAGCUUGAUGAUGCGACCGUGGUUGUUAGCCCUGUUCCUCAUGAUUGUAGGAGGGGCCUACUUGGUGCGCGCGCAGGAGGAGGUGCAACCGGAACCCUCCUCCACCGCCGAGCCGGAACCAGCAAACAAUGCCACCGAACCCGAACCGGAAUCGACGCCUGAGACGGUUGCCGAGACAACACCAAGCUCCACCACCCAGGCGUGUUUACACAUGCUCAGCUUUGUCGUAGUCUUCGUUGUCAUGGUGAUGGUACAGUAAACCAUCUCAGCAGCUAUGUCAUCGCUUCCUAUGUGAAACAUAUCGCAAAUAAUGUCCUUGCUCAUCGAGGGGAGUGACAAUUUCGGAACAGUUAUGGCGUCAUAGGAAGACAUCCCAAGAUGUCAGAGACGUCACGUGACCUGAUCCGACCUUGAACUCUGACCUCCGAGGAAUAUCAUUCAUCUUGCGCGACCAUCAUGAAGAUCAUGCAGCCAUUCCUUGUCAUCACGAUAUAUCCUGUCAUGUUGAUGUUUUAGCGUAUGAUCGCCCACGUGCCUUUACUUGACGACAUCCACAGGCGAUAGAUAUAGGUGCCAUUCCUCAAGUGUAAAUGUUUCCUGUAAUCUGUGUUUAACUUAUUGUCCAGGCGUCGUGUUUGUCAAUUGUUGUGUAUGUGCUGUCAAUGUCACAUGUGCUUGUAGUAGAAGAUCCCAUCAACCUGGCCCCAGCAGGAACCAUGUGUUCACAUGUAAAAAUAUGUAUACAUCUUUUAGAUACUUAAUAAACGCAGCUCCUGUGAACCUUU